This 1954-nucleotide non-coding RNA is filed under the name Pongo abelii (Sumatran orangutan). Lineage: Eukaryota; Metazoa; Chordata; Mammalia; Primates; Hominidae. The record is from RNAcentral.
UUUGCAAAAGGGUCCUGGGGGUCAAUGUGGUCUCGAUUGCUCAACUCUUCAUUAAACUACAGGUUUAUAGGUUAUUUGAUAAUAAGUCCAGAAUGCAGCUGCUGUAGGAGCUUCUAAUGCACUUUUCUAUUACUUCCAGAACACUGUGUAUAAUAAUAAACUCUACAGAAAUAAACCAAAUCACAAGAAGCUUUCAGGUCUGGAGGCUGACAUUUCUCAAGACAGAUGAAGAACCUGAGACUCACCUUGCUUAAGUGACUUGAGCAGCUUCAUGCAUCUUGUAAGUAGUAGAGACAGAGUCAAAACCAGAUCUUCCUGCCCUCUCUAGCAUAUAAACCACUUACACUGAAAUACAAAGUGGACCUGAUCUGUGGUGAAUUGUACUAAUGUUCUGCUUCCGCCAUGGGCACCAGGGGAUAUACCUUUCUUUGUUGACCCUAAUCUCAAAGGCUAAAUUAGAUCCCCCAAACUCAUUUCCAUUAAUAACAUAUCAAAGACUUGUGUCAUGCAUUAAUUUAUCCAAAGUGAUCUUGAUUCUAUUUACAUUUUGGUGCCACCUUUUAAUGUUACCAUUUUUAUAAAUUAAAUAAUAGAUAAAGCUAGUCUUCACUUACUGAUAUGUUAAUUUUUAACCCAAACUUCUUAGUCUGACAUUCCAGCAAUACUGGAGCAUUAACAGUUGAUAAUAGCUCUAUGUGCUACCUCUCCAAGAAACAAAUUUGCAUUUUAACCUGCACCUUCAAUGGCUGAACUUCAAAGGGUCACUGAUGAAUGCCACAGCCAGUUGGUGGGAAUAUAAUUCUUUUUAUGGAUAAUAUUUGUGUGUGUGUGUGUGUGUGUGUGUGUGUGUUAAAUCCUACCACAUAAGUCACUAACCUAUAGGUAAGGCCAGUCUUGACCUAAAAUGAGGAAUUCUGUAAAAUUUCAAAUGCAAAUCACAUUUUGUUUUUGAUGUUAGAGAAAACUGCAAAUUAGAACAGCAGAGCUGUGCCUCUGGCCAUUUCCUGGAACUACAGAGGAGCAACUUGCCCCUGGUUUCCAGUGGGUGAUGUUCCUCUUCUGCCACAGCCCCCAGCGAUGUUGAUGUGAUUGCCAUCAGAGCUCAGAAGCACAGAGCAGAAUCAUCCCCUGGAGGAGGAUUCCCUUCAGUGUAAGAAGUUCUUACAGAAUUAAUCCAUAAAGACUGUGGGUGGACUCUGCCAGGUUUUUCCCUGGGUGUACCAGAAGAGAGGAAGAGCCCUCAAAUACAGGAAAGUGCUCUUUUCAGUGACAGUAGUUCUUUUGGGCCCUGUGGCUAAGUGUGCUCCCACCCCAGCAGUAAGAUCACAGCUAAUCCUGAGAGGCAAGAGUUCACAACAGGCUACUGAAAGAAAAAGUGUCCUUUGUGGAUUGCAAGAGGAACUGGGACACACUGCUGGAAAUGAAGUGGCAGGUCAUAAACUAUCAUAAACUCAGGAGGAGAGGUGUUCCUUUUUGAGACACUCAUCACAACUAGAGAGAAUGCAGCUAAGAAAUUGCAGUCUUUAGGGGGACCUGGACUCUUGAGGUAUUUGAGCUAUUUGGAGGAAAUAGAAACUUGGAAGAGAUCUUUGUUCCACUAUUAUUUGGCAGCCCCUUACCCGCAGCUGCCAUUACUCCAGAUUCUCUCUGAUGAUCCUGCAUCAGGAGAAUGAGUUGACUGGACACCACUGGGAAAUGUGGGCAGCUCCAGGCUGAACUAGCGAAGGGGCAUGUCAAAGGUCACUUAUUUGUGGCUUGACCCUUUGGAGGCCAGAUGUAAGAAUCAAUUUCUCAAAGGUCCCAUGCUAACGCUUUUCAUAUUUAUUUCCAUCUGAGACUCGCUUAGGCUAGGCAAAUAUCCCAUGGGUCUGUACCUCUCCAGUGCUUUCUUGCUCAUGUAAAAUAAGCUCAUUGGAAUGAGUAAAGGGAAUGGUAUUACUUUGGCUCGAACACU